GCAGGAUAACUCAGCUGCCUAUGGCGCCCGGUACGUGGGUUCCAUGGUGGCCGAUGUUCACUGCACUCUGGUCUAUGGCGGGAUCUUUCUGUACCCAGCUAACAAGAAGAGCCCCAAUGAAAAGCUGAGACUGCUGUAUGAGUGUAACCCCAUGGCCUUCGUCAUGGAGAAGGCGGGGGGGCAUGGCUACCACUGGGAAGGAGGCUGUGCUAGACAUCGUUCCCACUGACAUCCACCAGAGGGCGCCGGUGAUCUUGGGGUCCCCGGACGACGUGCAGGAGUUCCUGGAGGUUUACAAGCAGCACUCUGCCAAGUGAGGGGCCGGCCGCGCCCACUCCGGAAGGAGUGUCCUCCACUCGGACCUUUCGUCUCACGUCGCGCUCCCCUGUUGUGGCAGCACAUCCUGCGUCCCUAGAGAGUAGAAAUAAAAAGCGUGGCUGCUUUCACCCUCAAAUGCCGUGUAAUGCCUGGUGCUACAUAGCAAAAUGCUGUCUGGAUGAUGUCGCUGGUGGGCAAGAUGUAUCCUGAGCAAAUGGAGGAGAAAUAAACACGGUCUUCCUUUUAGGAAAA
Long non-coding RNA from Otolemur garnettii (small-eared galago), 570 nucleotides. RefSeq lists it as uncharacterized. The transcript has 2 exons. The record is from RefSeq and is a predicted model, not a curated record. NCBI's taxonomy places the organism in Eukaryota, Metazoa, Chordata, Mammalia, Primates, Galagidae.